Molecule: long non-coding RNA, 1400 nt
Organism: Oxyura jamaicensis (ruddy duck)
Lineage: Eukaryota; Metazoa; Chordata; Aves; Anseriformes; Anatidae
Exons: 3
Source: RefSeq, a predicted model, not a curated record
CGGCCUUUGUCCUUGCAGGUUUUCAAGACCAGGCUGGAUAAAGCCCUGAGCAACCUGGUCACAGCUGACCCUGCUUUGAGCAGGGGGUUGGGAUGGAGACUUCCUGAGCACCCUGCCUGUCUGAAUUGUCCCAUGAGCCCUCUGGAAGCCUGUGACUGGGAAGUUAUUUCUGCUGUGUUUUGAUACUUCUGCUUUUCCAGCAGCCUGCCUACAGCUGAGUCCUCCAGCCUCUGUGGUUCACGUGCACUGAAAUCUUUGCCUGCACAGGGACUUGUCUCUUGAAUUCUGUGCUCAUCCUCCUAUGGUCCCUAAACCUGAGAGUGCCCACGAGGCCUGGGACUGGUGCAGGAGCAGCCGGUGCUUGGCCAGGAGACUGCAGACCUGGGACCUGCCUCCUCUCCAGGACCAGCCUGGGGCUUUGCUUUCGGAGCUCAGCAGGAGACCACGCAAUACUCUAGACAACUUGGAUUUCACUUGAAAUCUGUCUGGCAGGACCUGGCUUCCAGCCUGCUUGGAACCGUGGCCCAUGGAGAUUAAUGACAUGGAAAAUGAGGAACGCUGACCGUAAAGCUCUGAAAUUGUGGGAAAAGACAGCUUAGAGCCAGCCUUUGGUGAGGAGGUGUGUGACUUGUUCUGGGAUGGUGUUUGGAGAGGCAAAGGCUCCUGCUGCUCUUACAGGGGAAUGGCCUCAUAUUUAACAAGAACGUCUUUAAAAAAGUCUGUCUCUCUGCUCACAAAGGAGCUGGACUGUCUCAAGUACAGCAAGUCCUUUCCUUCCCCUCCCAGAGGGUGUGAUCCAGGUUUCCGCGGUCAAGAACGUGUUCCUGAAAAUAUGGGACAGCACGGGCUGGAGCAGGGAAUCAACCAGAAACUCCAGUCUCCGAUUUCACCUCCCGACGUGGAGAGGGCACGUCCCUGCCCUGUGCCCCAGCUUUCCUGCCCAUAAAUCAGCAGCUUCCUCGUGUGUUUUGGGGAGCUGUGAGCCGUGAUAACCAGCGUGCAGUGGGUGUGAGCCAUCCUCACUGCUUCCUGAGGGUUUCUGUGCAGUGCCAAACACUAGGGAUGUUCUGCUGCUGCUUUUGGGGACACUAAACAAUCUCUCAGGCUCCAGUCUGGUGUGUCUUGGUCAUGCAUUUGUGGCCAGACUGGUGAUGGGACGAUGGUGCUCACCCUGCUCAGGCUGUCAGGGAGAUUUGGGGGGUCUCAAGCAGCAGGAGGAACAGGGAAUGGGGAUGCAGGUGGUGGCUGUUCCCUGGGUGGGAUGUCGCUCUGGACUGAUCCAUCAGUAGAAGACAGAUGAAAUGCAGAUUCAAAAUCCUAUUUGUGUCCAGAUGACAGGCUUUCAGCUGGGAAAGUCCUCUGAGCAAAGUGCAUCUCUCCAGCAGGCAGGUAUAAUUCAC